RNAcentral lists this ribosomal RNA (374 nucleotides) under uncultured organism. RNAcentral describes it as "bacterial SSU rRNA". It matches the Rfam family "Bacterial small subunit ribosomal RNA", at positions 526 to 896 of the family's 1533-position model. The record is from RNAcentral.
CGUAGGGUCCGAGCGUUGUCCGGAUUUAUUGGGCGUAAAGAGCUCGUAGGCGGCUCGGUAAGUCGGAUGUGAAACCUCCAGGCUCAACCUGGAGUCGCCAUCCGAUACUGCUGUGGCUUGAGUCCGGUAGGGGAGCAUGGAAUUCCUGGUGUAGCGGUGAAAUGCGCAGAUAUCAGGAGGAACACCAGUGGCGAAGGCGGUGCUCUGGGCCGGUACUGACGCUGAGGAGCGAAAGCGUGGGGAGCAAACAGGAUUAGAUACCCUGGUAGUCCACGCCGUAAACGUUGGGCACUAGGUGUGGGGCUCUAUCGACGGGUUCCGUGCCGUAGCUAACGCAUUAAGUGCCCCGCCUGGGGAGUACGGCCGCAAGGCUA